CCUACGGGUGGCAGCAGUGAGGAAUAUUGGUCAAUGGACGAGAGUCUGAACCAGCCAAGUAGCGUGAAGGAUGACUGCCCUAUGGGUUGUAAACUUCUUUUAUAAAGGAAUAAAACGAGGCACGUGUGCCUUUUUGCAUGUACUUUAUGAAUAAGGAUCGGCUAACUCCGUGCCAGCAGCCGCGGUAAUACGGAGGAUUCGAGCGUUAUCCGGAUUUAUUGGGUUUAAAGGGAGCGUAGGUGGGUGGUUAAGUCAGUUGUGAAAGUUUGCGGCUCAACCGUAAAAUUGCAAUUGAUACUGGCAGUCUAGAGUGCAGUUGCGGUAGGCGGAAUGCGUGGUGUAGCGGUGAAAUGCUUAGAGAUCACACAGAACCCCGAUUGCGAAGGCAGCUUACUAAGCUGUGACUGACAUUGAUGCUCGAAAGUGUGGGUAGCAAACAGGAUUAGAUACCCUUGUAGUC
This 460-nucleotide ribosomal RNA is filed under the name uncultured bacterium. RNAcentral's name for it is "partial 16S ribosomal RNA". It matches the Rfam family "Bacterial small subunit ribosomal RNA", at positions 338 to 795 of the family's 1533-position model. The record is from RNAcentral.